RNAcentral lists this small nuclear RNA (310 nucleotides) under Aotus nancymaae (Ma's night monkey). RNAcentral describes it as "7SK RNA (ENSANAG00000010615.1)". It matches the Rfam family "7SK RNA". From Rfam's summary of the family: 7SK was discovered as an abundant small nuclear RNA in the mid-70s but a possible function has only recently been suggested. Lineage: Eukaryota; Metazoa; Chordata; Mammalia; Primates; Aotidae. The record is from Rfam by way of RNAcentral.
GGACAUGAGGGUGAUCUGGCUGUGAUGAUUGGCAGGGUUGAUUCAACUGAUCUGUCUGGCUAGGCAGGUGUCCCCUUCUGUCCUCACCACUUCAUGUGCAUCCCUCCCAAAACUGCACACUUGAUCAAAGAGAAUGACCAUCGCCAAUAGAGGAGGACCACUCUUUGGUCAAGGGCAUGCGAGUAGCUGCGCUCCCCUGCUAGAACCUUGAAACAUGCUCUCAAGGACAAGAAAAUAGAUAAGGAAGUAGAAUGAAGAAUUAAGAGGGAAGUUCAGUUUUUGAAGCAACUGAGGUGAUCUUUUAAGAUUU